CCGCAUCAGACUGAAACACUAGUUCUCAUAUGAUCACUGAAGUUAAACAAUGUCGAGCCUAGUUAGUACUUAGAUGGGUGACUGCUUGGGAAUAUCAUGUACU
Molecule: non-coding RNA, 103 nt
Organism: Acanthosepion pharaonis
Lineage: Eukaryota; Metazoa; Mollusca; Cephalopoda; Sepiida; Sepiidae
Source: the annotation of a GenBank genome assembly